AACGAACGCUGGCGGCAGGCUUAACACAUGCAAGUCGAACGGGUGUAGCAAUACAUCAGUGGCAGACGGGUGAGUAACACGUGGGAACCUUCCUAGGGGUACGGAACAACUCAGGGAAACUUGAGCUAAUACCGUAUACGUCCGUGAGGAGAAAGAUUUAUCGCCCUUAGACGGGCCCGCGUCGGAUUAGCUAGUUGGUGGGGUAACGGCCUACCAAGGCGACGAUCCGUAGCUGAUCUUAGAGGAUGAUCAGCCACACUGGGACUGAGACACGGCCCAGACUCCUACGGGAGGCAGCAGUGGGGAAUCUUGGACAAUGGGCGCAAGCCUGAUCCAGCCAUGCCGCGUGAGUGAAGAAGGUCUUCGGAUUGUAAAGCUCUUUUGCCAGGGACGAUAAUGACGGUACCCGGAGAGUAAGCCCCGGCAAACUUCGUGCCAGCAGCCGCAGUAA
RNAcentral lists this ribosomal RNA (451 nucleotides) under uncultured bacterium. Its description in RNAcentral is "partial 16S ribosomal RNA". It matches the Rfam family "Bacterial small subunit ribosomal RNA", at positions 29 to 523 of the family's 1533-position model. The record is from RNAcentral.